GAGUAACACGUAGGCAACCUGCCCUCAAGACUGGGAUAACUACCGGAAACGGUAGCUAAUACCGGAUAAUUUAUUUCACAGCAUUGUGGAAUAAUGAAAGACGGAGCAAUCUGUCACUUGGGGAUGGGCCUGCGGCGCAUUAGCUAGUUGGUGGGGUAACGGCCCACCAAGGCGACAAUGCGUAGCCGACCUGAGAGGGUGAACGGCCACACUGGGACUGAGACACGGCCCAGACUCCUACGGGAGGCAGCAGUAGGGAAUCUUCCGCAAUGGGCGAAAGCCUGACGGAGCAACGCCGCGUGAGUGAUGAAGGUUUUCGGAUCGUAAAGCUCUGUUGCCAAGGAAGAACGUCUUCUAGAGUAACUGCUAGGAGAGUGACGGUACUUGAGAAGAAAGCCCCGGCUAACUACGUGCCACCAGCCGCGGUAAUACAUAUGGGGCAAGCGUUGUCCGGAAUUAUUGGGCGUAAAGCGCGCGCACGCGGGUCUUUAAGUCUGGUGUUUAAACC
RNAcentral lists this ribosomal RNA (508 nucleotides) under Paenibacillus lautus. RNAcentral's name for it is "bacterial SSU rRNA". It matches the Rfam family "Bacterial small subunit ribosomal RNA", at positions 108 to 602 of the family's 1533-position model. The record is from RNAcentral. Lineage: Bacteria; Bacillati; Bacillota; Bacilli; Caryophanales; Paenibacillaceae.